AGGCCCCAAGAACAGCCCCAGUGGCGGGGCCAGCUCUGGAGCCCUGGAGUUAGCCCCCGCAGUAACUCCGGAGCUCUCUCUCGGUCUGCAGGGCCUGGAGGCUCCGGGGCGGG
This 113-nucleotide microRNA precursor is filed under the name Canis lupus familiaris (dog). RNAcentral describes it as "mir-8834 microRNA precursor family". It matches the Rfam family "mir-8834 microRNA precursor family". The record is from Rfam by way of RNAcentral. RNAcentral also lists the same sequence under 1 other name. Lineage: Eukaryota; Metazoa; Chordata; Mammalia; Carnivora; Canidae.